GUCGAUGACUUGCCUGAAAUGCUAUGGGUUGAACUGGGCAGAUGGAGGAGUACGACGCUCAACAAUGGGCUAAGCCCAAUAACACAUUUGGCAGCUCAGAAGCAGUUAUUAAGGAUCUCCUAAUUUCCACUUUCGACUAGUAUUUCGGGCCCAGUCACCCAAGAAGGCUUGUCUUGCUUGAUUGAGGACAUUAGAGACAACAAAAUGGGACGGACUCCGAGCGUUCUCAGGCCAUCACCCCUCUCAGCCGUCCGAUCGGGUUUUUUUUUUUUGCCAUAUCCGGCCGUCCAAACGCGCCUGGGCCUCGCGCUCUCCGUUUGGGCCGCUGCUCCGCCACAAAAAUCUAAGCAAUCUGGUGAUUUGGGCUGGGAUGGCCUAGACGCCCAGUUCGUAGUAGCGCACUAGCGCCCGAGGAAAAAAAAACUGCAUCCAAUUCUUGUUUUCUCGUUCUCCCCAUCCCGAUUCCCUGUUCCCCGAUCUAUUAUCUCGCUGCAUCUCCCCCGAUCGAUCGGUCGCCACCACCGUUGCCUUCCCCCGAACCUCCUGGCUCCUCAGGUCGAGCUCGCCGGCCCUCUGCUGCCCGCCUGCCCCCAAAUCACUCGCUUGUCGGACCUCUGCCACUGCUGGCCGUCCAAAGCUGGCCGCCUUCCCCUGCUCACCUCUCGUCCAGAUUGUGGCCUCCGGACGCCACCCUACGCCAGUCCCGCUGCCCUCCGCCAGCCGGCACCCUCCGUCCUCCAAGGGUGAGGAAUUGAACAGCUGGGCAAAUUCCCUUGCAGGGCAGCAGAUCCUCACCGUCUGGCCUCCUACGAGCUUGCCCUCCAUUCUUAUCCAGCCUCAACCAGCAGUUGCAAUGCCGGGGAAGGUAGAUAUGAGAGACAGAUAGGCACGCGUGCCGUGGCCGCCCCGACCGUGCCAGCAAGGAAGGUGGUUCGAUCCGGCCAUGGCCAUGACGCUCCCCACCUCCGCCCGUCAUCAUGGGAGCCUGAUGACUCCAUGGGUGUCUAUGGAGGUGUGCUGCAGCCUGCAGGUGUGCCCAUCCUCCCAAAAACAGUUUUAUUGAUCUUAUUACUUUAAUCAGAGAAUACUAUAUAUAUUGUAUACUGUAAUAUAUUUGAGUACUUAAAAAAAUUGCGGGAAGAUUACUUCA
Brachypodium distachyon (stiff brome) is the source of this 1150-nucleotide long non-coding RNA. RefSeq lists it as uncharacterized. The record is from RefSeq and is a predicted model, not a curated record. The transcript is spliced from 3 exons. NCBI's taxonomy places the organism in Eukaryota, Viridiplantae, Streptophyta, Magnoliopsida, Poales, Poaceae.